RNAcentral lists this ribosomal RNA (410 nucleotides) under uncultured bacterium. RNAcentral's name for it is "bacterial SSU rRNA". It matches the Rfam family "Bacterial small subunit ribosomal RNA", at positions 32 to 440 of the family's 1533-position model. The record is from RNAcentral.
AAUCAACGCUGGCGGCGUGCCUAACACAUGCAAGUCGAACGCGAAAGCCCGCAAGGGUAAGUAGAGUGGCGCACGGGUGAGUAACACGUGGACAACCUGCCUUCGAGUGGGGAAUAACCUUCCGAAAGGAGGGCUAAUACCGCAUAACACCUCGGGACACAAGUCUUGGGGUUGAAAAGAGCAAUUUGCUCGAAGAGGGGUCCGCGCCUGAUUAGCUAGUUGGUGAGGUAACGGCUCACCAAGGCUUCGACGGGUAACUGGUCUGAGAGGACGAUCAGCCACACUGGCACUGCGACACGGGCCAGACUCCUACGGGAGGCAGCAGUAAGGAAUAUUGCGCAAUGGGCGAAAGCCUGACGCAGCGACGCCGCGUGGGGAUGAAGGUCUUCGGAUUGUAAACCCCUUUCGGG